CCAUGUCCUCCCACACUGCUCGCUCCUGGCACUCCAUCUGGCGCAGAGUCCCUGGCACAGAUACACGUUGGUUCUGCAACACCAGGAAUGCCAGGAUGAUUUAGCCACCUCCUCACUUGUCUACCUUUCCCUCCCCUGCUUCAAAGACUUGGGUCGAUCGAAGCACCAAAGCAUCACUGUUGCUGACACUAACAAGUAGUGCCAAGGGAUUGCCUUUAAGGAAGAUCAGGAGCGGAACAUCUGGUGGCAAAGAAAAUCUUUCUAAUAGCCCCAUUCUAGUGACCACCUUCAACCUCCUCAUAGCAGGAGAGUUUGGGAGUAGGGGACUUAGGAUGUUUUGUUCUUUUAAUCAAUUCAGAAAAUAUGUAUGUUUGAAAUAAAAAUAAAAAUAC
This 392-nucleotide long non-coding RNA is filed under the name Homo sapiens (human). RNAcentral describes it as "HSALNT0012558". The record is from RNAcentral. Lineage: Eukaryota; Metazoa; Chordata; Mammalia; Primates; Hominidae.